RNAcentral lists this ribosomal RNA (520 nucleotides) under uncultured Glomus. Its description in RNAcentral is "SSU rRNA". It matches the Rfam family "Eukaryotic small subunit ribosomal RNA", at positions 569 to 1091 of the family's 1831-position model. The record is from RNAcentral. Lineage: Eukaryota; Fungi; Glomeromycota; Glomeromycetes; Glomerales; Glomeraceae.
AGCAGCCGCGGUAAUCCCAGCUCCAAUAGCGUAUAUUAAAGUUGUUGCAGUUAAAAGCUCGUAGUUGAAUUUCGGGGUCAGUAGGUUGGUCAUGCCUUUGGUAUGUACUGGUCUCACUGAUUCCUCCCUCUUGAAGAACUGUAAUGUCAUUAAUUUGGUGUUGCGGGGAAUCAGGACUGUUACUUUGAAGAAAUUAGAGUGUUUAAAGCAGGCUUACGCUUGAAUACAUUAGCAUGGAAUAAUGAAAUAGGACGUUUGAUCCUAUUUUGUUGGUUUCUAGGAUUGACGUAAUGAUUAAUAGGGAUAGUUGGGGGCAUUAGUAUUCAAUUGUCAGAGGUGAAAUUCUUGGAUUUAUUGAAGACUAACUACUGCGAAAGCAUUUGCCAAGGAUGUUUUCAUUAAUCAAGAACGAAAGUUAGGGGAUCGAAGACGAUCAGAUACCGUCGUAGUCUUAACCAUAAACUAUGCCGACUAGGGAUCGGAUGAUGUUAAUUUUUUAAUGACUCAUUCGGCGCCUUAC